Molecule: ribosomal RNA, 321 nt
Filed under: uncultured bacterium
Lineage: Bacteria
Description: bacterial SSU rRNA
Rfam family: Bacterial small subunit ribosomal RNA
Source: RNAcentral
GAUGAACGCUGGCGGCGUGCCUAACACAUGCAAGUCGAGCGAAGCGCCUUACUUGAUUUCUUCGGGAUGAAAGUAUUGUGACUGAGCGGCGACGGGUGAGUACGCGUGAUAACCUGCCUCAUACAGGGGGAUAACAGUUAGAAAUGACUGCUAAUACCGCAUAAGGCCACAGCACCGCAUGGUGCAGGGGUAAAAACUCCGGUGGUAUGAGAUGGAUCCGCGUCUGAUUAGCUAGUUGGUAAGGUAACGGCUUACCAAGGCAACGAUCAGUAGCCGACCUGAGAGGGUGACCGGCCACAUUGGGACUGAGACACGGCCCAA